UCGGAUAUGGUGUAACGGCUAACAUUGCCGCCUCUCAUAUGAGAAGUGUUGGACGCUGCGCGGCAGCUCGGGGUUCGAUUCCCCGUAUCCGAA
This is a non-coding RNA of Hymenopellis radicata, 93 nucleotides long. The record is from the annotation of a GenBank genome assembly. NCBI's taxonomy places the organism in Eukaryota, Fungi, Basidiomycota, Agaricomycetes, Agaricales, Physalacriaceae.